RNAcentral lists this ribosomal RNA (766 nucleotides) under Staphylococcus epidermidis. Its description in RNAcentral is "bacterial SSU rRNA". It matches the Rfam family "Bacterial small subunit ribosomal RNA", at positions 28 to 776 of the family's 1533-position model. The record is from RNAcentral. Lineage: Bacteria; Bacillati; Bacillota; Bacilli; Caryophanales; Staphylococcaceae.
GAUGAACGCUGGCGGCGUGCCUAAUACAUGCAAGUCGAGCGAACAGAUAAGGAGCUUGCUCCUUUGACGUUAGCGGCGGACGGGUGAGUAACACGUGGAUAACCUACCUAUAAGACUGGGAUAACUUCGGGAAACCGGAGCUAAUACCGGAUAACAUAUUGAACCGCAUGGUUCAAUAGUGAAAGGCGGCUUUGCUGUCACUUAUAGAUGGAUCCGCGCCGUAUUAGCUAGUUGGUAAGGUAACGGCUUACCAAGGCAACGAUAGGUAGCCGACCUGAGAGGGUGAUCGGCCACACUGGAACUGAGACACGGUCCAGACUCCUACGGGAGGCAGCAGUAGGGAAUCUUCCGCAAUGGGCGAAAGCCUGACGGAGCAACGCCGCGUGAGUGAUGAAGGUCUUCGGAUCGUAAAACUCUGUUAUCAGGGAAGAACAAAUGUGUAAGUAACUGUGCACAUCUUGACGGUACCUGAUCAGAAAGCCACGGCUAACUACGUGCCAGCAGCCGCGGUAAUACGUAGGUGGCAAGCGUUAUCCGGAAUUAUUGGGCGUAAAGCGCGCGUAGGCGGUUUUUUAAGUCUGAUGUGAAAGCCCACGGCUCAACCGUGGAGGGUCAUUGGAAACUGGAAAACUUGAGUGCAGAAGAGGAAAGUGGAAUUCCAUGUGUAGCGGUGAAAUGCGCAGAGAUAUGGAGGAACACCAGUGGCGAAGGCGACUUUCUGGUCUGUAACUGACGCUGAUGUGCGAAAGCGUGGGGAUCAAACAGG